This 460-nucleotide ribosomal RNA is filed under the name uncultured bacterium. RNAcentral describes it as "partial 16S ribosomal RNA". It matches the Rfam family "Bacterial small subunit ribosomal RNA", at positions 338 to 795 of the family's 1533-position model. The record is from RNAcentral.
CCUACGGGUGACAGCAGUGAGGAAUAUUGGACAAUGGGCGCGAGCCUGAACCAGCGAAGUAGCGUGAAGGAUGACUGCCCUACGGGUUGUAAACUUCUUUUAUAAAGGAAUAAAGUGAGGCACGUGUGCCUUUUUAGAUGUACUUUAUGAAUAAGGAUCGGCUAACCCCGUUCCAGCAGCCGCGGUAAUACGGAGGAGCCGAGCGUUGUCCGGAUUUAUUGGGUUUAAAGGGAGCGUAGAGGGGUUGUUAAGUCGGGUGUGAAAGUUUGCGGCUCAACCGUAAAAUUGCAAUUGAUACUGGCAGUCUUGAGUACAGUUGAGGUAGGCGGAAUUCGUGGUGUAGCGGUGAAAUGCUUAGAUAUCACGAAGAACUCUGAUGGCGAAGGCAGCUUACUAGACUGCCACUGACAUUGAGGCUCGAAAGUGUGGGUAUCAAACAGGAUUAGAUACCCGAGUAGUC